ACGGAUGAAAGCAGGGGAUCGCAAGACCUUGCGCGAAUGGAGCGGCCGAUGGCAGAUUAGGUAGUUGGUGGGGUAAAGGCUCACCAAGCCUUCGAUCUGUAGCUGGUCUGAGAGGACGACCAGCCACACUGGGACUGAGACACGGCCCAGACUCCUACGGGAGGCAGCAGUGGGGAAUUUUGGACAAUGGGCGAAAGCCUGAUCCAGCCAUGCCGCGUGCAGGAUGAAGGCCUUCGGGUUGUAAACUGCUUUUGUACGGAACGAAAAGUCUCUUUCUAAUAAAGAGGGAUCAUGACGGUACCGUAAGA
RNAcentral lists this ribosomal RNA (308 nucleotides) under uncultured bacterium. Its description in RNAcentral is "bacterial SSU rRNA". It matches the Rfam family "Bacterial small subunit ribosomal RNA", at positions 196 to 485 of the family's 1533-position model. The record is from RNAcentral.